GGUUUCAUCGUCCAGCGGCCAGGAUGCCCCGUUGUCUGCGGGAGGACGCGGGUUCGAGUCCCGCUGGGACCG
This 72-nucleotide transfer RNA is filed under the name Deinococcus radiodurans R1 = ATCC 13939 = DSM 20539. RNAcentral describes it as "Deinococcus radiodurans R1 tRNA". It matches the Rfam family "tRNA". Rfam says of the family: Transfer RNA (tRNA) molecules are approximately 80 nucleotides in length. Their secondary structure includes four short double-helical elements and three loops (D, anti-codon, and T loops). The record is from Rfam by way of RNAcentral. Lineage: Bacteria; Thermotogati; Deinococcota; Deinococci; Deinococcales; Deinococcaceae.